GACGAACGCUGGCGGCGUGCUUAACACAUGCAAGUCGAACGAUGAAGACCGGUGCUUGCACUGGUUGGAUUAGUGGCGAACGGGUGAGUAAUACGUGAGUAACCUGCCUUUGACUCUGGGAUAAGCCUUGGAAACGAGGUCUAAUACCGGAUACGACUAACCUUCGCAUGAAGUGUUAGUGGAAAGGGUUUGUACUGGUUUUAGAUGGGCUCACGGCCUAUCAGCUUGUUGGUGAGGUAAUGGCUCACCAAGGCGACGACGGGUAGCUGGCCUGAGAGGGUGACCGGCCACACUGGGACUGAGACACGGCCCAGACUCCUACGGGAGGCAGCAGUGGGGAAUAUUGCACAAUGGGCGCAAGCCUGAUGCAGCGACGCCGCGUGAGGGAUGACGGCCUUCGGGUUGUAAACCUCUUUCAGCAGGGGAGAAGCGAAAGUGACGGUACCUGCAGAAGAAGCGCCGGCUAACUACGUGCCAGCAGCCGCGGUAAUACGUAGGGCGCGAGCGUUGUCCGGAAUUAUUGGGCGUAAAGAGCUUGUAGGCGGUUUGUCGCGUCUGCUGUGAAGCCCGGGGCUUAACUCCGGGUUUGCAGUGGGUACGGGCUAACUAGAGUGCAGUAGGGGAGACUGGAAUUCCUGGUGUAGCGGUGGAAUGCGCAGAUAUCAGGAGGAACACCGAUGGCGAAGGCAGGUCUCUGGGCUGUAACUGACGCUGAGAAGCGAAAGCAUGGGGAGCGAACAGGAUUAGAUACCCUGGUAGUCCAUGCCGUAAACGUUGGGCACUAGGUGUGGGGGACAUUCCACGUUUUCCGCGCCGUAGCUAACGCAUUAAGUGCCCCGCCUGGGGAGUACGGCCGCAAGGCUAAAACUCAAAGAAAUUGACGGGGGCCCGCACAAGCGGCGGAGCAUGCGGAUUAAUUCGAUGCAACGCGAAGGACCUUACCAAGGCUUGACAUAUACUGGACUCCCCUAGAGAUAGGGUUUCCCUUCGGGGCUGGUAUACAGGUGGUGCAUGGUUGUCGUCAGCUCGUGUCGUGAGAUGUUGGGUUAAGUCCCGCAACGAGCGCAACCCUCGUUCUAUGUUGCCAGCACGUGAUGGUGGGGACUCAUAGGAGACUGCCGGGGUCAACUCGGAGGAAGGUGGGGAUGACGUCAAAUCAUCAUGCCCCUUAUGUCUUGGGCUUCACGCAUGCUACAAUGGCCGGUACAAAGGGUUGCGAUACUGUGAGGUUGAGCUAAUCCCAAAAAGCCGGUCUCAGUUCGGAUUGGGGUCUGCAACUCGACCCCAUGAAGUCGGAGUCGCUAGUAAUCGCAGAUCAGCAACGCUGCGGUGAAUACGUUCCCGGGCCU
This 1349-nucleotide ribosomal RNA is filed under the name uncultured bacterium. RNAcentral's name for it is "bacterial SSU rRNA". It matches the Rfam family "Bacterial small subunit ribosomal RNA", at positions 28 to 1381 of the family's 1533-position model. The record is from RNAcentral.